UACAGAGGUCCCAAGCGUUGUUCGGAUUCAUUGGGCGUAAAGGGUGCGUAGGCGGUGCCGUAAGUUGGAUGUGAAAUCUCGGGGCUCAACCCCGAAACUGCAUUCAAUACUGCGGUGCUUGAGUACUGGAGAGGAGACUGGAAUUCAUGGUGUAGCAGUGAAAUGCGUAGAUAUCAUGAGGAAGGCCAGUGGCGAAGGCGGGUCUCUGGACAGUUACUGACGCUGAGGCACGAAGGCCAGGGGAGCAAACGGG
Molecule: ribosomal RNA, 253 nt
Filed under: uncultured bacterium
Lineage: Bacteria
Description: partial 16S ribosomal RNA
Rfam family: Bacterial small subunit ribosomal RNA
Source: RNAcentral